Molecule: non-coding RNA, 21 nt
Filed under: Caenorhabditis elegans
Lineage: Eukaryota; Metazoa; Nematoda; Chromadorea; Rhabditida; Rhabditidae
Source: RNAcentral
UAGAAAAUAUUGAUUGAAUCG